UGGGGAAUUUUGGACAAUGGGCGAAAGCCUGAUCCAGCAAUGCCACGUGAGUGAAGAAGGCCUUCGGGUUGUAAAGCUCUUUUGUCAGGGAAGAAACGGUGAGAGCUAAUAUCUUUUGCUAAUGACGGUACCUGAAGAAUAAGCACCGGCUAACUACGUGCCAGCAGCCGCGGUAAUACGUAGGGUGCAAGCGUUAAUCGGAAUUACUGGGCGUAAAGCGUGCGCAGGCGGUUUUGUAAGUCUGAUGUGAAAUCCCCGGGCUCAACCUGGGAAUUGCAUUGGAGACUGCAAGGCUAGAAUCUGGCAGAGGGGGGUAGAAUUCCACGUGUAGCAGUGAAAUGCGUAGAUAUGUGGAGGAACACCGAUGGCGAAGGCAGCCCCCUGGGUCAAGAUUGACGCUCAUGCACGAAAGCGUGGGGAGCAAAACAGGAUUAGAUACCCUGGUAGUCCACGCCCUAAACGAUGUCUACUAGUUGUCGGGUCUUAAUUGACUUGGUAACGCAGCUAACGCGUGAAGUAGACCGCCUGGGGAGUACGGUCGCAAGAUUAAAAACUCAAAGGAAUUUGNCGGGGUCAUAGCUGUUUCCUG
RNAcentral lists this ribosomal RNA (589 nucleotides) under uncultured bacterium. Its description in RNAcentral is "partial 16S ribosomal RNA". It matches the Rfam family "Bacterial small subunit ribosomal RNA", at positions 355 to 1376 of the family's 1533-position model. The record is from RNAcentral.